UACGAAGGUCCCAAGCGUUAUCCGGAUUUAUUGGGUUUAAAGCGUGCGUAGGUGGUUCGUUAAGUCUGUCGUGAAAGCCCCGGGCUCAACCUGGGAAUGGCGAUGGAUACUGGCGGGCUAGAGUGCGGUAGAGGAGAGUGGAAUUCCCGGUGUAGCAGUGAAAUGCGUAGAGAUCGGGAGGAACAUCAGUUGCGAAGGCGGCUCUCUGGACCAGCACUGACACUGAGGCACGAAAGCGUGGGGAGCAAACAGG
This 253-nucleotide ribosomal RNA is filed under the name uncultured bacterium. RNAcentral describes it as "partial 16S ribosomal RNA". It matches the Rfam family "Bacterial small subunit ribosomal RNA", at positions 524 to 776 of the family's 1533-position model. The record is from RNAcentral.